GAGCUGCCUCGUGAGCGCGCAGCUGCUGAACGCGCCCAAGUUUCGCGAGCAGACACCGAGGAGGAUACUCUCCUCUCACAUCACACUCAACAACGAACAGGGUGAAGUACAACAGACCAGAGGCCAAACGCUCUGUAGCGAAGGCGUCGUUUCUGUGACUCUGUGCUGUCCACCUACAUCCCAUCCUGGCCCUGAAAUCCACACUAUACCAGACAUUAGCCAGCCUCCAUCAAUAGUACCAACCUUACAAGACGCUUCUGUGUGAGAAAACACAAGCACGAAGGAACAGAUCAUCUCUGACUCAUCAACCUAAUGCACACCUACUGGAGCCCACUCAAUUAAACUCGCUUGAACACACGGCUUUCCCGGCUUCGCAUAUUUAUCUGAUCUGAUUAGGUGUCUGAUGUUCAUUGUCUGACGCUUUCAGCGGCAGUUAGAAAUGGGAUGCUUGCCGUGAGGCCAUCCAUAAACUGGCGCCCAACGUAGGGACAACACCUGCAAACCGUGUCCCAUCUGGAACCAAUUAGCCCCAUCCCUGCAGCCAAAAGAAACGAGCGUGUGACUCGAGUUCUUGCUGUUUUUAUGCAUUGUGGCAGCCCGUUGUGUCAUGUCCCAUCGGCUUGCGCUGCUCCACUUGCGUAUCAGAUACGAUUUGACAGGUCUGGAAUAAAAAAAGCCUGUCGUUUUGACCCCUCUUGGUCCCGGAUUGCUCCACUUGUGUCACUUUGCGUGUCCGUCACUCGUUCGAAGGUGUCCACUUUGGCCUCGUUUGUUCACAUCGAGGUCGCCGCAUCAAUCUGGCCAAUCUCUCUGUCCCACCCACUCUUGCGACAGCUUGCAAGUUCUGUCGUCGCCCCCCCUGGAGGAUGAGCGAUGUGUCCACGUUAGACUAUGAGCUGCUCUCGCCGGGGCCGUCAUUUGCCGGGGUCCCCAGCAGCCCACCUCUUGGUGGCGAUGCUGAGCAAAGGACGGCCUUCGCAUUCGUGGGUCUCCUGAUGCUGUUUUUGAUUUUCCUGUUGGUGCGUUGCUUCCGGAUCUUGCUGGACCCUUACAGCCGAAUGCCCGCUUCAUCUUGGACCGAUCACAAGGAGGGCUUCGAGCGGGGCCAGUUUGAUUACGCCCUGGUGUAGUCAUGUGACCUUGACACACCACCUGCCUUACCCCAACCUGUGGCAUGACUCCAAGCCUGUAGCUAAUUGCGCUUAAACCAUCAUGGGUUUGAUUCCCAGGGAAUGCACGUGCCAUGUAUACAGUACCUUGAAAUACACUUUGGGCGAAAACUUAACCGAAUUAACAGGGUCGUCCAUUUCUUCCGCUGUAGCUACUUCCUCAGGACGGUCUACAAGGUCUACAACGAACAAACACAUGAAGUCAACGGUUCAAGGUGCCCAACACAAUGCUAACUGUGAACCGUUACUACCCUUCAGCUACUGUACAUACUUUGUUACUGUAGAUGAAUCUUAAUUGUAAAAGACAUGAUGAAACCCUUCAAUGGACUCAUGUAGAUGGCAUAUUUAAUUUAAUGCAACUGAAAAUGUGGCUAUGUCAAUUGUUGCUGUAAACUGAUUUAAAAGGAAAAGAAAGGAAAGGAAAGCACGUGUUGCCAAGAAUGGUGUCCCAUACUUGGAAUUUGUGCUCUGCAUUUAACCAAUCCAAGUGCACGCACACAUCAGGGAGUAGUGAGAAAAACACGUUAAUUGUUUCAGUGAAUUCAGCAAAUGGUUUUCGCUAAGUUUACACAGAUCACUUAAGUGUCAUUAAAAUGUCAAUUUCUGUUAAUUGUUGCGUUGAAUUCAACAAAUGGUUUAUAUACAAUUUACACUGUAAAGAUCACUGAAAUUUCAUUCAAUUGUUGCUUUGGAUUUAACUUGGUUUCCAAAGCAAUUUACACUUUGUUCCUGCUUAGUCAUUGCUGCCCUCAUUGCCUCGUUUUCAUUGGUGUAAAAUUAAAUAAGCCUUCUACCAUGAUUAUGGCAUACUCCAUUUGAUUUUGUCUAUUUAGCAUGGUAAAUUUGCACAAAAUACAUCUUUAAGGAAAACUUCAGUAUUGGAAAGUCAGAGUAUGUCCGACAUACCUGCUGCCUUCGACAGACCCGUUCUAAACUUUAUACGUUUCUGAGGAUGUUCUGGAUUUGGAGCAAAAAUCCCUUUAAGAUUUCUGAACUUCUGUCCUUGUAUUAUUAUUGCUGUUUCUUGUACUUUUGACUAUGUGUAUAUAUAUAUAUAAGCCAUAUGUUCUCAUAUAUUGAAGGUUGUUCCUGUCAUUGGUUGUCUGUUUGCUGAUGUACCGAGCUCUCUGAAACGGUUGUGAUCGAAGAAAGGUUUAGAAUCGUCCGAAAGAUAUAUUUUUAUAUCCCCGCUCCGAUUUGGAGUUCCCUUUUUGCUAAUGUGUCGUCUUGAAUUUGCAGCUCUCAUUUGGACGGAUGUGCAAAGAAUGGUGAUAUGCCAAGAAACAUUGGAGCUUGCGUUUGCUUUGUGAGUUUUGUAAGUAGUUUGGAUAUUUUCCUAAUUCCCUUUUGUCUGAAAUAAAACUGGGUUUAUUCACUUAAGCCUUCCAAAAUCUUCCAGACGAAGUGGCCACCCUUCUGAGAUCAAUAAGCCAUUUCCACUUGGAUACGCUCGCUAGAUCUCUUUAGCAUGGCUAAAAAUAGCCUUUUGCACAAAGAGAACAGAAAGACAAAGGUUUAAAAAUAUAACCCAUGUUGUUUUAUUGCCAUUUGUUGUUUCGUACAGAUGUUCACAAACAUUGUGCGGAUCACUCCGAUCUAACAGAUGGAUCAAAAAUGGUUUAAAAACAAUGCAUUUGGAAUUACUCAUUAGCAGUGAACGGGGUGCUCAGGUUUCUCCGUCAUGCAUGUUUAUGGCUCAAAGGAAUUCAUACAGAUGCCCUAAUCAAUGCACCUCUGGGAUUUAUGGUAUGGGAUGACAUCCUGAGCGACCCGGUCCACUUUCUUUGGUCUGUAGUUCGUAACCCAACACUAGCUUGAUGACUAUUUCAAGUUUGCUGCUGAUUUUUUGACAUACAGUACAGUCACGCACAUUCGCUCUUUUACAUGUAGUGGCAUCAACAAAAACAAAAGAUAUGAAAGUAUACAAAGUUCCCAAGUUAGACAAAUGAUUAUGCAUAAAUAUAGCUCAGGCUGUCGUACAGUGCAGUUACUGUGAUGUUCAAGAAACAGUUUUGUCAUUCUAGCACCAAAAUCACUUUGUUUACAGCCUUUGAAAACAGUCCAAUAUUGCUGGUCGUUGCAAUAAACUACAGUAUUAUUAAUUUAGAUGAUCAAUGGACAAGCUCAUGUAAACAGUGAUGUACGUCACGUAGUGCUCAGUGACAGUAAAUUAAGUACGCCGUGAUCAUUAAUUGUCAGUAUUCAGAGGAAAAACAAAGUCAACAGCUCUUAAAGGCUAUUUAUCUAAUGUGUACAAGUAAAUAUUUGGUUUGGCAGUCUUGAUGCUUGAGAAUACAAAAGAAGAAGAAAUACAAACAAAAACUACAUUUCACUUUAAAAUAUACAAUUACAAUUUUCAACAAGCUUUGAUGGUAAUGAUUUUUCAGCAUUGAGACAGUACAAAAGACAAUCACACAUGAAAUAAAAUAAAACACAAAAGACCUUUUGAAAAAUGUCACGUUAGCGAUCCACAAAUCAGUUCGUAGUACAGCGUACGUUGGAAUCUUAGCACCUUGUUUGUUUCGCGGUUACUGUGAAACUAAGAAACGAGGGUCACCUAGUAAUCGUUACUACACUUGAAAGUUGAAAAUGUGUGUUUGCGUGUCCGUAUCUGGAGUGUUUAGGAGGACGGCUUGCCAAACAAUCCUUAUGUACAAUUGAGACUGCACAUCUCCAGCUGCAAUCAAAAAUGGCCUCUAGUUGGUUUACCCAGCAGGCUGCCAGUUCUCCAUUCGUAUGUGCUCUGUUUGCCAAGCAGGUCUUUGUCAAAUACACCAACAAGAGCACACAAGUAUGGAGAAGAAAAUGCUUCAAAUGUGAAUGCCAAGUUUGUGCAACAUAACAUGCAUAUUCGAAAACCCUUUAGACAGUCGCAGCCAUUUUUGGAAUGAUUUUUCCCUGAUUAAAUUACGCAGAGGAGGCCCAGUGCAAAUUGAGCACCACUCCUGUCCUAACUUCGGUACAUAUAUUUGUGUGUGUUCUCGUGCAUGUGUGUAAAAUGAGGUAAUGCGAUGUGGCAGCUCAUGCAAACACUCCAGAAUGUCCCAGAAAUAUUGUGUAAAAAGACUCGUAAAAAGUUUCGAGAACCAUAAGCAGUUUGAAACUCAUGUUUUGACUCAUGUUUAAACCUGAAAAAUUGCUGCAGUGUGACCUUUUUUGUGUUUAGUUUUAAAGACAGUACAAUACUUGAUGAAUGACUAAAUACUGAAUGGAAUAAACUUUUUACCCCAGUUUAUACUGAGAUAUCGAGGUGAGUGAACAGUCUUUAUAUUUUUCUUCAUCUAUAAUGCAACGUUUUUAUGUGCACUAAAGACUGAAAUGUCAUUUCAUGAUAAUUUUGACAGUUUACAACUGUAAUAGCCAUACUAAAAUUAAAUUGUCUUUACGACUGAUUUUUCUGAUUGUCCCUCUGGUAAAAGUGGGUGCUAAAGCUAGUGCUAACGCACUCCUGCUAAUUUGUGGUGGUAUAUGUACAUAUUCCACCGAACCUGGUGGAGUCGGUAGGAGCUGACAUGAAAGGAUGGCAAAAAAAAAAA
Molecule: long non-coding RNA, 4705 nt
Organism: Carassius auratus (goldfish)
Lineage: Eukaryota; Metazoa; Chordata; Actinopteri; Cypriniformes; Cyprinidae
Exons: 2
Source: RefSeq, a predicted model, not a curated record